This 386-nucleotide ribosomal RNA is filed under the name uncultured bacterium. RNAcentral describes it as "bacterial SSU rRNA". It matches the Rfam family "Bacterial small subunit ribosomal RNA", at positions 98 to 474 of the family's 1533-position model. The record is from RNAcentral.
GCGAACGGGUGAGUAACGCGUAGGUAACCUGCCUGGUAGCGGGGGAUAACUAUUGGAAACGAUAGCUAAUACCGCAUAAAAUUGAUUAUUGCAUGAUAAUUAAUUGAAAGAUGCAAUUGCAUCACUACCAGAUGGACCUGCGUUGUAUUAGCUAGUUGGUGAGGUAACGGCUCACCAAGGCGACGAUACAUAGCCGACCUGAGAGGGUGAUCGGCCACACUGGGACUGAGACACGGCCCAGACUCCUACGGGAGGCAGCAGUAGGGAAUCUUCGGCAAUGGGGGGAACCCUGACCGAGCAACGCCGCGUGAGUGAAGAAGGUUUUCGGAUCGUAAAGCUCUGUUGUAAGAGAAGAACGGGUGUGAGAGGGAAAGUCACACUGGACG